Long non-coding RNA from Salvia hispanica, 2480 nucleotides. RefSeq lists it as uncharacterized. Lineage: Eukaryota; Viridiplantae; Streptophyta; Magnoliopsida; Lamiales; Lamiaceae. The record is from RefSeq and is a predicted model, not a curated record.
GCUAUUUUGAAGGAGAAUUUCAAGCUUGACAAAUACGUCUUUCAUGGCGGUUAGAAAAACCAAUCUUCCUUAACGAGGAAAGGGUUACAGACAAGGGGCUUAUGGUAGUGAAAAUAGCAACACUACUCUAUCUCUCUUGUCUCUUCUCUUUCUUUAAAGAAUAGUAAGUCUUAUUUGCCAGGCUUGUUAUUCUCCUUCGAUGGCCUGAAAUGGUAAGAGGCGAUGAUUGGUGCCUCCGAGUCUGAGUUUGAGAAUGGAACAGAUCUCUGAUCGGUGACUCGCGGCCGACUCACUGAGUUUGUUUGUGUAGAGAUUCAUUCCCAAUUUUUGCAUCUUUCCGCAAUUAGGGCUCCUGAAAUUUUUUACUCUUUCUUAGCUAGUUGAAAAGGCGAAUAUUUUCCUAAACCCUUUGCUGAAAUAUUUAUAAUCUUUCAUUUUUAUGCUUUAACAAGUUAUAAAAACAUCGAAUAUUUUGUUUAUGUUCUUCACCUUACUUUUGUGUUUCCACACGAUGUUAGAACAUGAUUUCGUUAGUUUACUAGAUAAUUCUUCGGAAAGCUUCUCUAAGAUUGUUGCAAUUUUGUUCUAGUUAUAUUUAUGCUCAUAUUCCAUUUUUCUCUAAUUCUAGGGUUUCUGAAAUCCGAUUUUUCCCGAAGCCCCUCCUUUCUUUAUUUCGUGAUUUGUUCUAAUUUGUUUUGUGAGAGUAAAAAAUUUGUCCUGUCCUAUCAACCUUAUUUUUGUCUGAGAUUAGUGCAAUUUUGUUCUUAGUUUUAUUGAGUGCUAAAGUUCUUGAAAUUUUUGUUUCAUGGGUAUGAUUAAGGCGUCUAUAGUUGUUUCUGAUGUUAAUUUGUUGAAUUCUUACUGCAAGUUUGCUCUAUGGUUUUGGUGCACGAACUACACACGUUGGUUAUCUAUAUAUGUUUUGUCCUAUUUCAUAAAAUUAAUUUAGAAUAUUUGGGUGUAGGUCUGUUGAUAGUUGGUAAGUUAAUGAGAGUUCACCAUUGUGUAGGUAAAUGUAGUUGAUUGCUCUUCUUCAUUUAUAUUGAAUUCGAGGCUUGUGAACAGAGUCUUCAGUCAUGCUUUCUAAUUUCAAUUUUAAUGAAUAGAAAAAAUUCUUAUUCCUUUUUUCUCCUCACAUUAAUGAUAAGGCAAGGAGAUUGGUCUUCAUGUUACAGGUUUGUUGAUACCUUGAUAGAGAGAUAUGUUUAUUUGGAAAUGUAUUAAUUGGUUUUCCAUGCUCAGCCCUAAUUAACAUUAAGUUUUGCUCAUUACAUUGUUCAUGGUAUAUUUAAGCUACGCCCUACCAUGAAAGUAUGGCAAAACUCUUAUUAUUCCUUAAUUUCUUGACAAGGAAAUUUUGGUUAUAUUGUACGUGCGAUUUGGCAUGAGUCAUGUACGCGUAGAAGCCAUUGUCAUGCUUAUGUUCACUUGUUAAUGAGUACUAACCUAUUUUUAAUGCCUUUUUUUCAUUGACUUUCUAUUUGGCAUUAAAUGUUUAUAUUUUUAACUAGAUUCGGAACCAACACUACCAUGCUAUGAUAAAUAUAUUACGGGGUUGUUCUUGUCUACUGCAUAAUGUGACCCCACUACAGGAGAUGUGGGUAGAGUUGUUCUUGAUAUGAGUUCUUUUUAUAUGUCUUGACACAAUGCAGGUUCUCGUAGGUAUGACUUUAAAUUUCACACAUAAUUAAAUGCACAUGUGUACUUUUGUCUUGCGCCCCUCAUGUCAAAAGAGUUUCUUUAACAAUUAGCAAGCAUAGGUGAUAAGUGUGUGAGGCUUCUUCAUGUUUGGGGAGUAGCAAUGCAGACAUCCUUUUGCUGGCUGAAGAAAUAAGCUACUUCCACGGUAAUUGCUUCAUUGAUCUUAAUAUGCUGGCUGGAGUCUGGACAAACUUAAGUGUUAGAUCUGUCUGGAAUCUUCUUAUGGGAAUUAGCUCUCAUAGUGGCACUGUCUAGUUUCUACACUUGCUCUUGUUUAAUGCUAGCGUUUCGUAGCUGAAUGCAGAUGCGAUCCGAGGACUAUAAUGCAACAGAAUUCUCAAAUUAUUCUUCUAUCUCAGUUUUUGAGUUGUUUGAAUUGUAAGGGGAGUCGUAACCCUCGAUUGAGCGGUGAGUCGAGUGCCUGUCUUCCUCCACUGCCGUUGCCAGAGGCCAUCCCAAUAGUGGCGGCAGUGGUUUAUUUUUUCAUCUUUGGGCCGGAAAACUCCCCUACUUAGAGCAACUCCAAGGGGGAGGAUAAAUGAGAAGGUAAAGCAUGAUAACUACCAAAUUUACCUCUUUUUAUGGAAAAACAUUCUCCAAGGGAGAAGGUAAAUGGGGAGGUAUUAUACCUUUUCCCAUUUUGAGGAGGUAUCUUUACCUCUCCAUGGAAGAGAAGGUAGGAGUAAAAUAGAAAUAACUGAUUUUGAGAUUGGCGGGAGAGAGAAGCGACACAAUCUGUUUUCAUUUGCAGGCAUUAAGCAUAAAUUACUUCAUGAUUA